RNAcentral lists this small nuclear RNA (147 nucleotides) under Catagonus wagneri (Chacoan peccary). RNAcentral describes it as "U4 spliceosomal RNA (ENSCWAG00000016405.1)". The stretch from base 1 to 130 matches the Rfam family "U4 spliceosomal RNA". From Rfam's summary of the family: U4 small nuclear RNA (U4 snRNA) is a component of the major U2-dependent spliceosome. The record is from Rfam by way of RNAcentral. Lineage: Eukaryota; Metazoa; Chordata; Mammalia; Artiodactyla; Tayassuidae.
AGCUUUGCGCAGUGGCAGUAUCGUAGCCAAUGAGGUUUAUCCGAGGCGCGAUUAUUGCUAAUUGAAAAGGAAUAUAUAGUCCCCUCUGGGUAGUGGGGUUAUGGAUAAUUUCCGUUUUCUAUACACUUUGCUAAAAAUUCUACAAUA